UACGUAGGGCGCAAGCGUUGUCCGGAAUUAUUGGGCGUAAAGAGCUCGUAGGCGGCCUGUUACGUCUGCUGUGAAAUCCCGGGGCUUAACCCCGGGCGUGCAGUGGAUACGGGCAGGCUGGAGGCAGGCAGGGGAGAACGGAAUUCCCGGUGUAGCGGUGGAAUGCGCAGAUAUCGGGAAGAACACUCGUGGCGAAGGCGGCACUCUGGGACGGUACUGACGCUGAGACGCGAAAGCGUGGGGAGCGAACAGG
This 253-nucleotide ribosomal RNA is filed under the name uncultured bacterium. RNAcentral describes it as "partial 16S ribosomal RNA". It matches the Rfam family "Bacterial small subunit ribosomal RNA", at positions 524 to 776 of the family's 1533-position model. The record is from RNAcentral.